GCCCGUCUGGGCAGAAGGAUCCUCUUCCUGCUAUCGCUGGUAUUUCAUGGCCUUUCAGAGCAAAGAAAAUAGAAGAGAUAAAACUCCCUGCAGUAGAAGCAACACUGCUGAUUUACUUGUGUGAAUACAACUUAGAGGAUCAAAACUCAAAUGUGACACUGGUGGAUCUGUUGCACUAUUUGGUUUAGUCUGCUAUGACAUCUAAUUUUGCACUGAUUCAGAAGAAAUCAGAAGAACGAACUCCCUACACAGUUGCUAGAGAGAGUGAUUGUCAUGAGGAUAACUUCAAAACACGCAGAGGCUGAAGAGCAGAAAAACACACUGCUGAAGAGGGAAAGCCUAAUAGCAGCUCUUCCCCUGUUCUGGUGGCACACAUUUUCCCCUGAAAGCCCAACAGGAAAACCUCCUCAUGACUGUCAAGUGAUCACAAACAGUAUGAAUUUCAGAUGUGGUGUACAGAUUAAUAACAAAGAAAAGGCAUUCAGCUUCUCCUGAAGAGACUUCACAUGGGAUGAGUCUAUCCCACAUCAGUUAUUUAAAACAAACCCAACAAACAAGCACCAAGCUAGAAGAAAAGUCACUUACUGGAGAACCUCACCAACCUGUCACUGAAAUCUUCAGCUCUUGCAGUGGUUUUAACCCUGGUAUGGAGAAGAUGCUGCCUCAGCCUCCUUCCAGUGUGUCCAUGCUCAGAUAGCUGGAGCCUUACAACCCUCCUGAGAUCUCCUGGUGUACAAUACAGACUUCAGGACUCAGCUCCCUCGUCUGAAGUGUCAUUGAGACAAAGAAAAUGGUUCUUUGCAAAUGGCUAUUUGGCAUGCUGAAAGACUUCUGGUUCCUUUCCCAUUUGGUAAGACAAUGUCGUAGUGGAAUAAAACAAAUGUUUGGAAAUCAAGAUUAUUUAUUAAUAGCUACAAACCAAUGAUAACAGGCUGAGAUCCUUUCAUACAAUAAAAUAAACCAGAGUAAAGCAAGCUAGUUUUUUAUCUGCCAUCUGACACAUUCAUUGAUAAAACCUCUGCCACUUCCCUCUGAAAGGCUGGAUAUCUGUGGCAGCCAUUCUCUUUGUCUCGAGUAUGCAUAAACAAGGAAAAUCAAGCUUACGUUGGACUGAUCACAGAUGGUUCUAGGUAAAUCAAAUGGGGGAAAAAUAUAUAUCCUCAAGAUUUAAAAAGCUCAUUCCACCAAACUAGCUACAAAGCCAGCCACAGAACUGGCUAUUUCUGUAGUUUUAAAAACAUUGCAUGGGGCUACAUUCUCCUGACAGGGAGGGAAAUGGGGUGGAAGGUACAAGGAAGCAGAAUGGUUUAAUCAGCAAAUCCUUUGUCUACUAAACCCAACCCAAACCAAACAAUUUCAGGCCCAGUGAAGUUUCUACAGCAUCAGAAAGCGGCUACAGGCAAGGGGGCAGCAGAGCAGCAAAGAUGCCUGCAGGACUGAAUACAGAAUCAUCUUCAGUUAAGCACAGAGGAACUCUACACUUUGAGUAUGGAAUUUCAGAUGAUGAAAGCAUUCGAGAAAGACCAUUUACUCCUCUCCCUGGAGUUCUUGCCAAAACUGAUAUCAGCAAAGAAAUAACAGCUUAUUUCUUGAAACAGAGUGAAUCAGCUUGGUGCUGGUUCUAUUAAGCAGCGCUUGCUGAUCAGGAACUGAAGCAGGAACUCCAUAAUGGCUAAGCAAGGCAGAACAGGCUAAUUAAGUUGCUCUUUCCACUGUCAGAAAAUAAACAGCUUAUUGUUCAAAUGUAAAGCUUCCUCUUGUCUCCCCUCAUAGGACAUGAUAUCUUCUCAAACAUCCUGGUACAGGGAAAAUUAAAGCCCUUGAGACAGCAAGAAUCUUGAGUUCUGUGUUUAUUGUCAGCGUCUGAUUUACCAUGUCCUGAGGCUGGCUCGUCAGCUG
Long non-coding RNA from Pogoniulus pusillus (Red-fronted tinkerbird), 1899 nucleotides. RefSeq lists it as uncharacterized. NCBI's taxonomy places the organism in Eukaryota, Metazoa, Chordata, Aves, Piciformes, Lybiidae. The record is from RefSeq and is a predicted model, not a curated record. The transcript has 7 exons.